Molecule: ribosomal RNA, 366 nt
Filed under: uncultured bacterium
Lineage: Bacteria
Description: bacterial SSU rRNA
Rfam family: Bacterial small subunit ribosomal RNA
Source: RNAcentral
ACUCCUACGGGAGGCAGCAGUGGGGAAUAUUGCACAAUGGGCGCAAGCCUGAUGCAGCCAUGCCGCGUGUGUGAAGAAGGCCUUCGGGUUGUAAAGCACUUUCAGUCGUGAGGAAGGUAGUGUAGUUAAUAGCUGCAUUAUUUGACGUUACUGACAGANAGACACGCGUAACUCCGUGCCAGCAGCCGCGGUAAUACGGAGGGUGCGAGCGUUAAUCGGAAUUACUGGGCGUAAAGCGCAUGCAGGCGGCCUGUUAAGUCAGAUGUGAAAGCCCGGGGCUUAACCUCGGAAUUGCAUUUGAAACUGGCAGGCUAGAGUCUUGUAGAGGGGGGUAGAAUUUCAGGGUGUAGCGGUGAAAUGCAGUAG